CUACGGGGGGCUGCAGUGGGGAAUCUUGGACAAUGGGCGAAAGCCUGAUCCAGCCAUGCCGCGUGUGUGAAGAAGGCCUUCGGGUUGUAAAGCACUUUCAGUGGGGAAGAAAGCCUUGGGGCUAAUACCCUCGAGGAAGGACAUCACCCACAGAAGAAGCACCGGCUAACUCCGUGCCAGCAGCCGCGGUAAUACGGAGGGUGCGAGCGUUAAUCGGAAUUACUGGGCGUAAAGCGCGCGUAGGCGGUCUGAUAAGCCGGUUGUGAAAGCCCCGGGCUCAACCUGGGAACGGCAUCCGGAACUGUCAGGCUAGAGUGCAGGAGAGGAAGGUAGAAUUCCCGGUGUAGCGGUGAAAUGCGUAGAGAUCGGGAGGAAUACCAGUGGCGAAGGCGGCCUUCUGGACUGACACUGACGCUGAGGUGCGAAAGCGUGGGUAGCAAACAGGAUUAGAUACCCCGGUAGUC
This 464-nucleotide ribosomal RNA is filed under the name Vreelandella stevensii. Its description in RNAcentral is "partial 16S ribosomal RNA". It matches the Rfam family "Bacterial small subunit ribosomal RNA", at positions 339 to 795 of the family's 1533-position model. The record is from RNAcentral. Lineage: Bacteria; Pseudomonadati; Pseudomonadota; Gammaproteobacteria; Oceanospirillales; Halomonadaceae.